RNAcentral lists this ribosomal RNA (1463 nucleotides) under uncultured bacterium. RNAcentral describes it as "bacterial SSU rRNA". It matches the Rfam family "Bacterial small subunit ribosomal RNA". The record is from RNAcentral.
AGGGUUUGAUCCUGGCUCAGGAUAAACGCUGGCGGCGCGCCUAAUGCAUGCAAGUCGAACGGUUCCGAGUUCGCUCGGGAUAGUGGCGAACGGGUGAGUAACGCGUGGGCGACCUGCCCCCCAGUGGGGAAUAACCCUGCGAAAGCGGGGCUAAUACCGCAUGAUGUGCCGGUUUGGAAGCCGGUCACCAAAGCCUUCGGGCGCUGGGGGAGGGGCCUGCGUCCUAUCAGCUUGUUGGUGAGGUAACGGCCUACCAAGGCGAUGACGGGUAGCUGGUCUGAGAGGACGGUCAGCCACACGGGCACUGAGACACGGGCCCGACUCCUACGGGAGGCAGCAGCAGGGGAUCUUGGGCAAUGGGCGAAAGCCUGACCCAGCGACGCCGCGUGGGGGAAGACGGCCUUCGGGUUGUAAACCCCUUUUCUCGGGGAAGAGAGAGGACGGUACCCGAGGAAUAAGUCUCGGCCAACUACGUGCCAGCAGCCGCGGUAAUACGUAGGAGGCAAGCGUUAUCCGGAUUUACUGGGCGUAAAGGGGAUGUAGGCGGCUUAUCAAGUCCGUGGUGAAAGCUCCCGGCUCAACUGGGAGAGGUCUUCGGAUACUGGUGAGCUUGAGGGCAGCAGAGGGAGGUGGAAUUCCCGGUGUAGCGGUGAAAUGCGUAGAUAUCGGGAGGAACACCAGUGGCGAAAGCGGCCUCCUGGGCUGCCCCUGACGCUGAGGUCCGAAAGCGUGGGGAGCAAACCGGAUUAGAUACCCGGGUAGUCCACGCCCUAAACGAUGGACACUAGGUCUGGGGGGUAUCGACCCUCUCCGGGCCGAAGCUAACGCUUUAAGUGUCCCGCCUGGGAAGUACGGCCGCAAGGCUAAAACUCAAAGGAAUUGACGGGGACCCGCACAAGCAGCGGAGCGUGUGGUUUAAUUCGAUGCUAAGCGAAGAACCUUACCAGGGUUUGACAUGCUGGAAGUAGAAACCCGAAAGGGGGACGGCCUGUAAAGUCAGGAACCAGCACAGGUGCUGCAUGGCUGUCGUCAGCUCGUGCCGUGAGGUGUUGGGUUAAGUCCCGCAACGAGCGCAACCCUCGCCGUUAGUUGUUUUCUCUAACGGGACUGCCGGGCAAAACCCGGAGGAAGGCGGGGAUGACGUCAAGUCAGCAUGGCCCUUAUGUCCUGGGCUACACACACGCUACAAUGGGCGGUACAAUGGGACGCCAGGGCGCAAGCCUGAGCUAAUCCCCUAAAACCGUCCUCAGUUCGGAUUGCAGGCUGCAACCCGCCUGCAUGAAGUCGGAGUUGCUAGUAACCGCAGGUCAGCACACUGCGGUGAAUACGUUCCCGGGUCCUGUACACACCGCCCGUCACGUCAUGGGAGUUGGUAACACCCCAAGCCGGUGGGCUAACCCGCAAGGGAGGCAGCCGUCCAAGGUGGGACCAGCGACCGGGACGAAGUCGUAACAAGGUAGCCG